UGGGGAAUUUUGGACAAUGGGGGAAACCCUGAUCCAGCCAUCCCGCGUGUGCGAUGAAGGCCUUCGGGUUGUAAAGCACUUUUGUCAGGAAAGAAACGUCAUGGGUUAAUACCCCGUGAAACUGACGGUACCUGCAGAAUAAGCACCGGCUAACUACGUGCCAGCAGCCGCGGUAAUUCGUAGGGUGCAAGCGUUAAUCGGAAUUACUGGGCGUAAAGCGAGCGCAGGCGGUUCGGAAAGAAAGAUGUGAAAUCCCAGAGCUCAACUUUGGAACUGCAUUUUUAACUACCGGGCUAAUGUGUGUCAGAGGGAGGUGGAAUUCCGCGUGUAGCAGUGAAAUGCGUAGAUAUGCGGAGGAACACCGAUGGCGAAGGCAGCCUCCUGGGAUAACACUGACGCUAAUGCACGAAAGCGUGGGGAGCAAACAGG
RNAcentral lists this ribosomal RNA (429 nucleotides) under Acidobacteriota bacterium. RNAcentral describes it as "Acidobacteria bacterium partial 16S ribosomal RNA". It matches the Rfam family "Bacterial small subunit ribosomal RNA", at positions 355 to 776 of the family's 1533-position model. The record is from RNAcentral. Lineage: Bacteria; Pseudomonadati; Acidobacteriota.